Molecule: small nucleolar RNA, 109 nt
Organism: Rhododendron vialii
Lineage: Eukaryota; Viridiplantae; Streptophyta; Magnoliopsida; Ericales; Ericaceae
Product: small nucleolar RNA snoR100
Exons: 1
Source: RefSeq, a predicted model, not a curated record
CAAUGAAGGAAGCAUGGUAAUGUGCACAUAAAUUGAAUUGAGUUUCUAGACUUGCCUUCUCCAAUGCCAUUUGGCUUUGAUUUGGGGGCAUGGUUCCACAGCCAAACAA